RNAcentral lists this long non-coding RNA (827 nucleotides) under Eucalyptus grandis. Its description in RNAcentral is "long non-coding RNA (EGRA_LNC000396)". The record is from RNAcentral. Lineage: Eukaryota; Viridiplantae; Streptophyta; Magnoliopsida; Myrtales; Myrtaceae.
UCUUUCUUUAUUCUUCUCUCUCCUCUCUCUUCUCCCCCACUCCCCCACGUGACCAAAUCCCCUCCUUCCUCCUUCGUGCAAACCAGCGAACCAGGAAGAGGAAGACAGCAGCUCGUCGAAGCCCGUCGCCGCCGCAUCGGAGCUAGACCUCCACCCACGUGAUGCCCGCCCGCGCAUGCCCCACGCUCCGCCGCCUCCCGCCCGCGCCUGCCGUCCUCGCCGUGUGUCGUCCAGCCCUGUUCGGCCUCUGCUCAACCCCUGUUCUGCCCCGUCCGGCCAUCUCCGGCCACCGUUUGAAGCUGUCGGACCUCUACCGGCCCUCCCCCGCACCUUGCCGCCCUUGUUGAAGUGAUUUGUGGUUGUUUUGUGUUCUUUUUCAGCGUGCGCAGCCACCACCGAGUGGGUUUCCAGCCCCCUUCAGGCUCGCUUUUGGGCCGUUUUCGGGCCCCAGACCUUAACCGUGCUUUGGGCUUAUCGUUCCUCAUGUCGUCUCCGUCGGAUUGAUACGUUUUGUGCUUAAUUCCAAUGAAUAAUCUCUCUAAUCCCUGCUUAGUUUUCUAAUUAUGCUUAGGGGUUGGUUAGGUUUAAUUAAAUGCAAUUAGGUGGUUAGAUUAGAAUAAAUUAGUGAUUAUUAGAAAAAUGUGAUGCAUAUUAGACAAUUUGAUUGCGCAAUUAGCAAGUAGACGUAGUCUACUAUUUAUUGAAAGUAUCUCGGGAUUUUUCCCAACCCUUAGCGAGCUUCAAUUAGGCAAUUUGGGCAUAAAUUGGAUUUUUAGUAAUUAAUUAUUAAUUUUCGAAAUUAAUUAAUUAAAUUUUUUUUUUCCAAA